GUUAGGAAUAUUGGACAAUGGGCGCAAGCCUGAUCCAGCCAUGCCGCGUGAGUGAUGAAGGCCUUCGGGUUGUAAAGCUCUUUAGUCCACGAAUAUAAUGACUGUAGUGGAAGAAUAAGCCCCGGCUAACUUCGUGCCAGCAGCCGCGGUAAUACGAAGGGGGCGAGCGUUAUUCGGAAUCACUGGGCGUAAAGCGUGCGUAGGCUGUUUUGUAAGUCAGAAGUGAAAGCCCAGGGCUUAACCCUGGAAUUGCUUUUGAAACUACAAGACUCGAAUUCGGGAGAGGAUAGCGGAAUUGUCAGUGUAGCAGUGAAAUGCGUAGAUAUUGACAGGAACACCAGUGGCGCAAGCGGCUAUCUGGACCGAUAUUGACGCUGAGGCACGAAAGCGUGGGGAGCAAACAGGAUUAGAAACCCGUCC
Molecule: ribosomal RNA, 420 nt
Filed under: uncultured bacterium
Lineage: Bacteria
Description: partial 16S ribosomal RNA
Rfam family: Bacterial small subunit ribosomal RNA
Source: RNAcentral